UUGAUCCUGGCUCAGGAUGAACGCUGGCGGCGUGCCUAAUACAUGCAAGUCGAGCGAACAGAUAAGGAGCUUGCUCCUUUGACGUUAGCGGCGGACGGGUGAGUAACACGUGGAUAACCUACCUAUAAGACUGGGAUAACUUCGGGAAACCGGAGCUAAUACCGGAUAAGAUUUUGAACCGCAUGGUUCAAUAGUGAAAGACGGCCUUGCUGUCACUUAUAGAUGGAUCCGCGCCGUAUUAGCUAGUUGGUAAGGUAACGGCUUACCAAGGCAACGAUACGUAGCCGACCUGAGAGGGUGAUCGGCCACACUGGAACUGAGACACGGUCCAGACUCCUACGGGAGGCAGCAGUAGGGAAUCUUCCGCAAUGGGCGAAAGCCUGACGGAGCAACGCCGCGUGAGUGAUGAAGGUCUUCGGAUCGUAAAACUCUGUUAUCAGGGAAGAACAAACGUGUAAGUAACUGUGC
RNAcentral lists this ribosomal RNA (468 nucleotides) under Staphylococcus pasteuri. RNAcentral's name for it is "bacterial SSU rRNA". It matches the Rfam family "Bacterial small subunit ribosomal RNA", at positions 13 to 469 of the family's 1533-position model. The record is from RNAcentral. Lineage: Bacteria; Bacillati; Bacillota; Bacilli; Caryophanales; Staphylococcaceae.